Molecule: long non-coding RNA, 283 nt
Filed under: Capsicum annuum
Lineage: Eukaryota; Viridiplantae; Streptophyta; Magnoliopsida; Solanales; Solanaceae
Description: long non-coding RNA (CANN_LNC017086)
Source: RNAcentral
CCCCCUCUUUCUCCUAUAACCCUGCAUACAAGCUCUUAAAUGCCGCCAUCUUAGCCACUAUAACUGCUAACUUAGCCUCCUUCGUAGCUAACUUUUAUUCUUCCCUGUUUAUCCGCUUCUCUUCUCCGUCCUUACUCUUAACCAACUUAGUAUACGCCCCUUUCUUGGUCUCCACUUUCUUCUUAACCUCUUUAUUCCACCACCAAUCCCCCCGAUGAUACCCAGACCGGCACCUAAAAACACCCAACACCUCAAUAGCAUUCUCCCUGAUGCACCUAGCCAC